RNAcentral lists this non-coding RNA (737 nucleotides) under Lamprophthalma japonica. RNAcentral describes it as "partial 12S ribosomal RNA". The stretch from base 330 to 732 matches the Rfam family "Microsporidia small subunit ribosomal RNA", at positions 752 to 1304 of the family's 1311-position model. The record is from RNAcentral. Lineage: Eukaryota; Metazoa; Arthropoda; Insecta; Diptera; Platystomatidae.
AUGUAAGUUUUUGCGGGGGUAUUUAUUUAUUUUAAUAAUAGGUGAAUUAUAAUAUAUUCUCAGUAAGAAGGUUUAUAUAUUAAAGAAAUUUAGAUAUAGUUAUACUGAAAUAGUGUUGGCUAAAUUUGUGCCAGCAGCCGCGGUUACACGAAUAAUACAAGUGAACUAUUUUUGGGAACAGUUAAGUUAUAUUUUUUGGAAAUUAAAAUGAUUUUAUUAGGUGAAAUUUUUAAAUUUAUUUAUUUUUGAUUUUUAUUUGUUGAAGCUGAAAAAUUUUAGGUUUAAACUAGGAUUAGAUACCCUAUUAUAUAAAAUGUAAUUUUGUACCUAGGUAGUAAUAGUUAUGUUCUUGAAACUUAAAAAAUUUGGCGGUAUUUUAGUCUUUUCAGAGGAACCUGUCCUGUAAUCGAUAAUCCACGUUGGACCUUACUUAAGUUUGUUUAGUUUAUAUACCGUCGUUAUCAGAAUAUUUUAUAAGAAAAAUAAUUUUCAAGUUUUUGAAAAAAUUUAUAUCAGAUCAAGGUGUAGCUUAUAUUUAAGUAGAGAUGGGUUACAAUAAAUUUAUUUAUGCGGAUUUAAUAAUGAAAAUUUUAAUGAAGGUGGAUUUGACAGUAAAUUUGUAAAGAUAAAACAAAUUGAUUUUAGCUCUAAAAUAUGCACACAUCGCCCGUCACUCUUGUUAUUAAGGUAAGAUAAGUCGUAACACAGUAGAUGUACUGGAAAGUGUAUCUAGAAUG